This 798-nucleotide ribosomal RNA is filed under the name uncultured Glomeraceae. RNAcentral's name for it is "SSU rRNA". It matches the Rfam family "Eukaryotic small subunit ribosomal RNA", at positions 314 to 1115 of the family's 1831-position model. Lineage: Eukaryota; Fungi; Glomeromycota; Glomeromycetes; Glomerales; Glomeraceae. The record is from RNAcentral.
AUCAACUUUCGAUGGUAGGAUAGAGGCCUACCAUGGUGGUAACGGGUAACGGGGUGUUAGGGCACGACACCGGAGAGGGAGCCUGAGAAACGGCUACCACAUCCAAGGAUGGCAGCAGGCGCGCAAAUUACCCAAUCCCGACACGGGGAGGUAGUGACAAUAAAUAACAAUACGGGGUUCUUUAGGAUCUCGUAAUUGGAAUGAGUACAAUUUAAAUCUCUUAACGAGGAACAAUUGGAGGGCAAGUCUGGUGCCAGCAGCCGCGGUAAUUCCAGCUCCAAUAGCGUAUAUUAAAGUUGUUGCAGUUAAAAAGCUCGUAGUCGAAUUUCGGGGUCAGUAGGUCGGUCGUGCCACUGGUAUGAACUGGUUUUACUGAUUCCUCCCUCUUGAAGAACUGUAAUGCCAUUAAUUUGGUGUUGCAGGGAAUCAGGACUGUUACUUUGAAAAAAUUAGAGUGUUUAAAGCAGGCUUUAGCUUGAAUACAUUAGCAUGGAAUAAUGAAAUAGGACGUUUGAUCCUAUUUUGUUGGUUUCUAGGAUUGACGUAAUGAUUAAUAGGGAUAGUUGGGGGCAUUAGUAUUCAAUUGUCAGAGGUGAAAUUCUUGGAUUUAUUGAAGACUAACUACUGCGAAAGCAUUUGCCAAGGAUGUUUUCAUUAAUCAAGAACGAAAGUUAGGGGAUCGAAGACGAUCAGAUACCGUCGUAGUCUUAACCAUAAACUAUGCCGACUAGGGAUCGGAUGAUGUUAAUUUUUUAUGACUCAUUCGGCGCCUUACGGGAAACCAAAGUGUUUGGGUCA